GACGAACGCUGGCGGCGUGCCUAAUACAUGCAAGUAGAACGCAGUUGCGAACGGGUGAGUAACGCGUAGGUAACUGCCUGGUAGCGGGGGAUAACUAUUGGAAACGAUAGCUAAUACCGCAUACUACCAGAUGGACCUGCGUUGUAUUAGCUAGUUGGUGAGGUAACGGCUCACCCAGGCAACGAUACAUAGCCGACCCGGGAGGGGGAUCGGCCCACCUGGGACGGGGACACGGCCCAGACCUCUUCGGGGGGCAGCAGUAGGGAAUCUUCGGAAAUGGGGGGAAACCUGACCGAGCAACGCCGCGGGAGUGAAGAAGGUUUUCGGAUCGUAAAGCUCUGUUGUUAAGGAAGCGGUACUUAACCAGAAAGGGACGGCUAACUACGUGCCAGCCGCCGCGGUAAUAC
Molecule: ribosomal RNA, 407 nt
Filed under: uncultured bacterium
Lineage: Bacteria
Description: partial 16S ribosomal RNA
Rfam family: Bacterial small subunit ribosomal RNA
Source: RNAcentral